RNAcentral lists this ribosomal RNA (495 nucleotides) under uncultured bacterium. Its description in RNAcentral is "partial 16S ribosomal RNA". It matches the Rfam family "Bacterial small subunit ribosomal RNA", at positions 28 to 507 of the family's 1533-position model. The record is from RNAcentral.
GACGAACGCUGGCGGCGUGCCUAAUACAUGCAAGUAGAACGCUGAAGGAGGAGCUUGCUUCUCCGGAUGAGUUGCGAACGGGUGAGUAACGCGUAGGUAACCUGCCUGGUAGCGGGGGAUAACUAUUGGAAACGAUAGCUAAUACCGCAUAACAGUAGAUGUUGCAUGACAUUUGCUUAAAAGGUGCAAUUGCAUCACUACCAGAUGGACCUGCGUUGUAUUAGCUAGUUGGUGAGGUAACGGCUCACCAAGGCGACGAUACAUAGCCGACCUGAGAGGGGGAUCGGCCACACUGGGACUGGGACACGGCCCAGACUCCUACGGGAGGCAGCAGUAGGGAAUCUUCGGCAAUGGACGGAAGUCUGACCGAGCAACGCCGCGUGAGUGCAGAAGGUUUUCGGAUCGUAAAGCUCUGUUGUAAGAGAAGAACGAGUGUGAGAGUGGAAAGUUCACACUGUGACGGUAUCUUACCAGAAAGGGACGGCUAACUACGUG